This 253-nucleotide ribosomal RNA is filed under the name uncultured bacterium. RNAcentral's name for it is "partial 16S ribosomal RNA". It matches the Rfam family "Bacterial small subunit ribosomal RNA", at positions 524 to 776 of the family's 1533-position model. The record is from RNAcentral.
UACGUAGGGACCGAGCGUUGUCCGGAUUCAUUGGGCGUAAAGAGCUCGUAGGCGGCCACUCAAGUCGAAUGUGAAACCUCGAGACUUAACCUCGAGCCUGCAUUCGAUACUGGGCGGCUAGAGUCUGGUAGGGGGAUCUGGAAUUCCUGGUGUAGCGGUGGAAUGCGCAGAUAUCGUCAAGAACACCUAUAGCGAAGGCAGCUUACUAGGCUGUAACUGACGCUGAGGCACGAAAGUGUGGGGAUCAAACAGG